RNAcentral lists this ribosomal RNA (57 nucleotides) under Paragnomonia fragariae. Its description in RNAcentral is "partial 28S ribosomal RNA". The record is from RNAcentral. Lineage: Eukaryota; Fungi; Ascomycota; Sordariomycetes; Diaporthales; Sydowiellaceae.
UGACCUCGGAUCAGGUAGGGAAUACCGGCUGAACUUUAAACCAUAUCAAUAAGCGGA